RNAcentral lists this ribosomal RNA (346 nucleotides) under Ensifer meliloti. RNAcentral's name for it is "Sinorhizobium meliloti bacterial SSU rRNA". It matches the Rfam family "Bacterial small subunit ribosomal RNA", at positions 1007 to 1353 of the family's 1533-position model. Lineage: Bacteria; Pseudomonadati; Pseudomonadota; Alphaproteobacteria; Hyphomicrobiales; Rhizobiaceae. The record is from RNAcentral.
CGUAUCCUUCAGUUCGGCUGGAUCGGAGACAGGUGCUGCAUGGCUGUCGUCAGCUCGUGUCGUGAGAUGUUGGGUUAAGUCCCGCAACGAGCGCAACCCUCGCCCUUAGUUGCCAGCAUUCAGUUGGGCACUCUAAGGGGACUGCCGGUGAUAAGCCGAGAGGAAGGUGGGGAUGACGUCAAGUCCUCAUGGCCCUUACGGGCUGGGCUACACACGUGCUACAAUGGUGGUGACAGUGGGCAGCGAGACCGCGAGGUCGAGCUAAUCUCCAAAAGCCAUCUCAGUUCGGAUUGCACUCUGCAACUCGAGUGCAUGAAGUUGGAAUCGCUAGUAAUCGCAGAUCAGC